Molecule: ribosomal RNA, 377 nt
Filed under: uncultured bacterium
Lineage: Bacteria
Description: bacterial SSU rRNA
Rfam family: Bacterial small subunit ribosomal RNA
Source: RNAcentral
AAACGUAGGGGGCGAGCGUUGUCCGGAAUUACUGGGCGUAAAGGGCGCGCAGGCGGUUAUACAAGUCAGAGGUGAAACCCCCCGGCUCAACCGGAGGCCUGCCUCUGAAACCGUAUGACUUGAGGGCAGGAGAGGGGAGUGGAAUUCCCGGUGUAGCGGUGAUAUGCGUAGAUAUCGGGAGGAACACCAGUGGCGAAGGCGGCUCUCUGGCCUGCUUCUGACGCUGAGGCGCGAAAGCGUGGGUAGCGAACGGGAUUAGAUACCCCGGUAGUCCACGCCGUAAACGAUGGGUGCUAGGUGUAGGAGGUAUCGACCCCUUCUGUGCCGUAGUUAACACAAUAAGCACCCCGCCUGGGGAGUACGGCCGCAAGGUUGAA